GACGAACGCUGGCGGCGUGCUUAACACAUGCAAGUCGAACGGAAAGGCCCUGCUUUUGUGGGGUGCUCGAGUGGCGAACGGGUGAGUAACACGUGAGUAACCUGCCCUUGACUUUGGGAUAACUUCAGGAAACUGGGGCUAAUACCGGAUAGGAGCUCCUGCUGCAUGGUGGGGGUUGGAAAGUUUCGGCGGUUGGGGAUGGACUCGCGGCUUAUCAGCUUGUUGGGGGGGUAGUGGCUUACCAAGGCUUUGACGGGUAGCCGGCCUGAGAGGGUGACCGGCCACAUUGGGCCUGAGAUACGGCCCAGACUCCUACGGGAGGCAGCAGUGGGGAAUAUUGCACAAUGGGCGGAAGCCUGAUGCAGCAACGCUGCGUGCGGGAUGACGGCCUUCGGGUUGUAAACCGCUUUCGCCUGUGACGAAGCGUGAGUGACGGUAAUGGGUAAAGAAGCACCGGCUAACUACGUG
Molecule: ribosomal RNA, 468 nt
Filed under: uncultured bacterium
Lineage: Bacteria
Description: partial 16S ribosomal RNA
Rfam family: Bacterial small subunit ribosomal RNA
Source: RNAcentral